GCAGGGCUGCGGGGCGCGUCAGGAGCAAUUCGUUCCCGGGGGCCUAUAAGAUACGCACGGGAGCUGACCCUGAUCGGGACCGUGGUUCCGUUCACUCGGCGCCCACCUACGACAGUAGGGACCUUGCGGGAUCGUCGUCUCCAACGGCUCAGGCGGCUCUGCA
RNAcentral lists this non-coding RNA (163 nucleotides) under Hyphomicrobiaceae bacterium. RNAcentral's name for it is "6S RNA". It matches the Rfam family "6S / SsrS RNA". From Rfam's summary of the family: E. coli 6S RNA was the first non coding RNA to be sequenced, but its function was unknown until recently. It consists of 184 nucleotides that fold into an extended hairpin structure with a large single-stranded internal bulge. Lineage: Bacteria; Pseudomonadati; Pseudomonadota; Alphaproteobacteria; Hyphomicrobiales; Hyphomicrobiaceae. The record is from RNAcentral.